UAAAUACCUCCAGGAAUGGCAACUCCACCCCUUCCUUGGGUAGCCUGUUCCAGUACUUAACAACCAUUUUGGUGAAGAUAUGUUUCCUAAUAUCCAGCCUAAAACUCCUCUGACAUAACUUGGCCUAUCACUUCUUACUUGGGAGAAGAGAACAUUCCUUGUUAAGUGGACCUGCAGACUUCCUGRAGGCCUCCUUCUUCAAGUAAAUUGGCUGAGUAUGAUGUUCAUACAUGAUUGUGGACAUAGGAUGUAGAUUUAAUUAGCAUAGCCAGUUUGAUAACCUUGGCAAGAACAAACAGAGCUUUGAAGACUACAAGGAGAUUGGCGACAGGAAAAGAUUGAAUCAAACUUCUGCAAGMAAGAGAUGUUGUAAAUGUGUAAGUUUUGCUGUGUGAUGUUUAACAUAAAUCAUUGUAGUAAAAAAUUACUAGCCUUCCUAGAACAGUAUAUAAGCAUUUGGAAAUCACGGUAAAAAUGAAUUUUGAUGGCAAAUGAGCUUUCCUGUGUCUCUAUCAAUCRUCGAUGAUCAGUGCCCUGUGUGAGGAGAAGGACCAGCUAGCUGAUGGCAGUCACAAUGCCUCUGGAACUGAUUGUGAUGGUGACAGGACUGUAUUUGGGCCCACAAUCGCCURUACGCUGCAACGUGACAGGUGCCUUGGCAAGAACAGACAGAGCUUUGAAGAUUACAAGAAGAUUGGAUCAAGAUUGAGGACAGGAAAAGAAGAUUGGUUCAAACUUCUGCAAGCAAGAGAUGUUGUAAAUGUCUGGACAGUAGAAUGCCAUAAAAGGAGCCGAGAGAGAUGUAGUCAACUGAUUGCAGAGGUAAUUGGAAC
This 833-nucleotide long non-coding RNA is filed under the name Zosterops lateralis melanops. RNAcentral describes it as "lncRNA (ENSZLMG00000000746.1)". The record is from RNAcentral. Lineage: Eukaryota; Metazoa; Chordata; Aves; Passeriformes; Zosteropidae.